GACGAACGCUGGCGGCGUGCCUAAUACAUGCAAGUCGAGCGGACGAAUCGAAAGCUUGCUUUUGAUUCGUUAGCGGCGGACGGGUGAGUAACACGUGGGCAACCUGCCCUGUAGACGGGGAUAACACCGAGAAAUCGGUGCUAAUACCGGAUAACACGAAAUGUCGCAUGACGUUUCGUUGAAAGACGGCGCAAGCUGUCGCUACAGGAUGGGCCCGCGGCGCAUUAGCUAGUUGGUGAGGUAACGGCUCACCAAGGCGACGAUGCGUAGCCGACCUGAGAGGGUGAUCGGCCACACUGGGACUGAGACACGGCCCAGACUCCUACGGGAGGCAGCAGUAGGGAAUCUUCCGCAAUGGACGAAAGUCUGACGGAGCAACGCCGCGUGAGCGAAGAAGGCCUUCGGGUCGUAAAGCUCUGUUGUUAGGGAAGAACAAGUAACGCAGUAACUGGCGUUACCGUGACGGCACCUAACGAGAAAGCCACGGCUAACUACGUGCCAGCCGCCGCAGUAA
This 514-nucleotide ribosomal RNA is filed under the name uncultured bacterium. Its description in RNAcentral is "partial 16S ribosomal RNA". It matches the Rfam family "Bacterial small subunit ribosomal RNA", at positions 28 to 523 of the family's 1533-position model. The record is from RNAcentral.